Molecule: long non-coding RNA, 185 nt
Organism: Saccostrea cuccullata (small rock oyster)
Lineage: Eukaryota; Metazoa; Mollusca; Bivalvia; Ostreida; Ostreidae
Exons: 2
Source: RefSeq, a predicted model, not a curated record
UUUGGUUGCCUCUGGUCCAUCCUUGCACAUUUUCUUGGUGAAAAUUUUCAUUGUUUCAGGACACAUUUCCCACAUUAGAAGGUGACACAUUUGAUCAGGUUCCAUAACUCCUACUGCAUCCAUGGUGUACAGGUGCCUGUAAAAUGAGAAUAAAAUUUGAAAUACAAGUUAGAUGGUUUAACAAA